CAAAGUAUAGCUUAAACAAAGCACCCCGCUUACACCGAGACUACAUCUGUUAGAACCAGAUUACUUUGA
This 69-nucleotide transfer RNA is filed under the name Isthmohyla debilis. RNAcentral describes it as "tRNA-Val". It matches the Rfam family "tRNA". From Rfam's summary of the family: Transfer RNA (tRNA) molecules are approximately 80 nucleotides in length. Their secondary structure includes four short double-helical elements and three loops (D, anti-codon, and T loops). The record is from RNAcentral. Lineage: Eukaryota; Metazoa; Chordata; Amphibia; Anura; Hylidae.